This 1300-nucleotide long non-coding RNA is filed under the name Pan troglodytes (chimpanzee). RNAcentral describes it as "long non-coding RNA NONPTRT000099". The record is from RNAcentral. Lineage: Eukaryota; Metazoa; Chordata; Mammalia; Primates; Hominidae.
CUUCGGGAGACUGAGGCAGGCAGAUUGCUUGAGCUCAGGGGUUCAAGACCAGCCUGAGCAACAUGGCAAAACCCCGUCUCUACAAAAAAAAUUACAAAAAUCAGCCGGGUGGGGUGGUGCAUGUCUGUAGUCUCAGCUACGCGGGAGGCUGAGGUGGGAGGAUCACUUGAGCCCAGGAGGUCGAGGCUGCAGUGAACCAUUAUCAUGUCACUGCACUCCAGCCUGGGUGACAGAGCAAGACUCUGUCUCAAAAUUGUAUGUAUAUAAAAGAAAUAAAGAGGGCAUUCUCCCACCCCCAGGGCCUUGCUUGUGUGGGGUUUCCAAGUUCAGCCAUCAGUAAGAGGGAAGUUCUUCCAGUCUGCAGUGUGAUACUCCUGUUGUGGCGUGGGUCAUCACCCUACUGAUUGCUGGAAAGGCAUCUCAGAGGGUAUCCAGCCACUGGGCUGUCCCUGGGGAUAGGAGGGCAGUCCACACCCUGAUCAGCCCUGGUCUGUCCCCAGCUGGCAGCUGUUGUCCAGAUGUUUUCGAUCCUGGAGGCACUUGGUGAAGAGGCAGCGGGAGCCAGCGGCGGCGGCAGUGGCAUUGGGCCGCUGGCAGCUGUUGCGAAAGGGCCUUCAGGCCCUGUGGCUCUGGGAGGCUCAGCUGGAGGCAGCAUGGGGGCAGUACACAAAGGUUCUGCUGGUCCGGAGCUUCCGAGAGUGGAGAAACCUGGCUUUACAGCAGAAACAAGUGCAGCCCCACAUGCAGGCUGGGCCAGGGUCCCCGCCCUCCAGGAGAGCCCAGGGCAAAGGCCUCUCCUUGGGAAGAAGCACAGUGGUGGACCCCGCCCAGAGAAGCAGGCUGGAACACACCAGGCAGAGAACAGACAGCAGACACGAGAGAUACCAGAUCCUGCAGGCCCUGCAACUGGCUGUGUUCUUCCUGUGGUGCCAGCAGAAGAAACGGGCCAGACAGGAGAGGGAGACUCUGCGGAAGGCCACCAGGGCCACACAGAGGACAGGGAGCUUCCCCCAGGCCUGGCACUCUACUGCUGCAGGUGUAGCCUGGGUGGCCCCACUGAGCCCCCAGCACCAGAGAGCUUGGCUGUGCAGGUGCUUCGGGGCGUGGCAGCAGUUCGUGCAAAGAGGGUCCCGGUACCAAGACCACCUGGCUGACCGCCGGACGGGGACCCUGAGGAAAUGCCUGGAACAGUGGGUGCGGAUGAAGCAGCUCCGGGAAUCAGAUGGGGCAAAGGUGACCCAGUUGUCCCUCUGCCGGCAGAAACCAGGCUCUCUCGGUGCUGGUAUCCCAGAUCCUGCCC